This is a long non-coding RNA of Mus musculus (house mouse), 3610 nucleotides long. RefSeq annotates it as predicted gene, 39530. Lineage: Eukaryota; Metazoa; Chordata; Mammalia; Rodentia; Muridae. The record is from RefSeq and is a predicted model, not a curated record. The transcript is spliced from 3 exons.
UUUUUUUUUUUUUUGAGAUGGGUUCUGCCUAUAGUAAAGAGGUUUGUUUUGAACUCCUAGGCUCAAGUGACCCUUCUGUCUCAGAUUCUCAAGUGUUGAGACUAUAGGUUUAUGUAACUUUAUUGGGCUUAGCUUAGUUUAAAAAAUGCUAAUAUUGAUACAAAAAUGUUUAAAACAAAACAAUGUCUGAGGCAAAUAAAAUAUAUUUUCAGGUUAUACCAGUCCUGUGGGUCACCAGUUUUGACCUCUGUACUAGUUGAGAGGAAGCAGCAUGUUAUAAUAUCUUGAACAGAACGUCCACAUUGCCUGUGUUACCAUCUAAGUUUAACAAUUUACCAGCUCUAUAAUCUCAGAUAAAUUACAUAAUCAGUUCAUUCCUCUCAACUAGGCAUAAGAAACCUUAAGCUUUCUAGCAGCUUUCAGUAUGGCAUGACUAAGAACCUAUAGAAAGCUAAUUAUAUGCAUUGAUUUUUUUUUCUGAAGGGGGGAGUGGGAUGUGAGACAGGGUUUUAUGUAGCCUGGCUUCAGCCUUUCUAUGUAGUUGAGAAUGGCCUUUGACUCCGGAUCCUAGUGGGACAACAAAUGUGUACAACCAUACCUGAUACUUGGUCUUACCUCAGUUUGUUGACUCACUUUACAUAUCUGGAUAGUGGGGGUAAUAAUGGUACCUACCUUAUAGAGCUCUGAGGAUUAGUGAGGUGAUACAUAUAGACUGCUAAUAAAAUUGCAGUAGUGAGGACACUUUUUUCUAGCACAAAAUAAGCACUAUAUAAGGAUUAACUAUCAUCAUUACUGAUUUUUAACAUGAUUUCGUGUUGAACUCAUGUAUGUUAGUAGUAAAGGACUUGAAAAGAAGGCUUGAUAGUAUUUACAAUGUAGCAUUGUUCCUGGAAGUGAUGUACAUACCAUCACAAUGGAGCUGAACUUUUGAUCCCUUAGUUAAUCAUUCAAAAAAGACAAAGUGGUAAGGUCUGAGAACAGGAAAAUUUUCCCGUCAAGGGAAUGCACCUUAUAGCAGACAGAGAAGAAGAGCAGGAGAACAGCCCAAAUGCCUACCCAUGAAGGCAACAAACCAAACUUAUUGCUAAAAGCCUCUUCUGUAUUUCCCAUAACGUCCUUAAGAAGAAGGCCAGGAAAAAAAAAAGCCACAUCUUGAUCUAUAGAGUUGACUAGAAGGAAUUCUUAUAUCGGAAAAACACACUUACUUUACUUGACCCAAAUUUGUGUAGGGAUAGAGUAUAGUAUUUUUUCAAAUACGUAAGAGAAAGGGGUUAUAAGUGUAGUUGGUUCCUGGGACUGAAAAGUAGCACUCAAGCAGUAAUAUUUGAGGUGAGAGUUAUGAUAUGAGGAAAUAAAUGAAGCAUAGGAAGGCAGCUUUGAGGGGAUGUUUGAUGAACUCCACUUUGAAUGAACAGGGAGACUGCAGGCCACAAGUAUAAGGGGCUGGUAAUAGGACUUCAGUAUUGAAGUGAUAAUAGGUCUUAAUAGGAUCUCACAUGAAAAGAUAUGGGGAUUCUUCAAUGGACCAUGAGAAAUUUCUGUUGAGAGGAGACAGUGUAUGUCAUGAAAACUAAUUUGAGUUUAUGAGAAUGUUAGAAGGCCAUAUGUAAUAGAGAGAGGACUGGAAACAUAUGAAAAUCUAAGUGUAUGUGGGUAAAUACAAGAAAAAGAUCUUGUUUUUUGUGCUGUGAAAGACUGGAGAAUUCUGAGUUUGAAAGCACAAGGUACAUGAUAGGAACCAGGUUGUAAAUAAGGAGAGACUAGAGUAAUCCCUGGUGUGGUAGGACAGGGCAUAAGGAAAGUCCAGCAUCACUAAAGGGGUGGUCUAGGAAGAGAAAACAACAAAAGUAUAUUCCCAUGAGAAAGGGCCAAAGGGACAAACUUCAGUAAGAAAGAACUGGAUUUCCCAGGCUUGAGAAAGCAGGGGGCAAGUGCAUUCUGAGAGGAAACAAUGACAAGCACCAGGGACUGAUAGUGUCAGAAUGUGGGGACAGUGGGAAAACACUGGAGGGGGUGAAGAAUGUUUCUCAGUAAAGAUAGUUAAAGAUUAAACAAGUAGUGGCUCUUCCGUGGGAUAUGGUAAAGAUUGUGGGGACUCUUGUAAGUGUAAAGAAAACAUUUGAGUAUGCAUUUAUUGUGGAUGGGACUGUCAGAAAAUAACAUAGGCCUUCUAAUGAGAAGUUGAAUGCUUUACAAAGUGGAAGGGAAGAGGCUGUACCCAGUGUGGUACAGUGCAGAGCUCUAAUAUGAGAAGAGAGUGUUGUAUAGAACCCCCACACCACAAAAGGAGCUCUGAAAAUGAGGGAAGCGCACAGGAAAAGAAGGGGGGAAACCUUAUUACCAUUGUGUGAAAUGUGAGGUAGAACACACAGACUGAGGAGUCAUAAGAAGGCAAACAUAUGAAGCACUCCUCUCUCUCUCUCUCUCUCUCUCUCUCUCUCUCUCUCUCUCUCUCUCUGUGUGUGUGUGUGUGUGUGUGUGUGUGUGUGUGUGUGGUGUGUAUGUUGCAUGUGUGCACACAUGUGCGUGCUCUCUUGGAUCUCAGAGAAAGAAUGGACGGAGGGCUUAGCCCUGUGUAAAAAGUGAGAACAGAAUGUUCUGAUGUGAGAGGUUCAGAAGUGGGUGGGGAGGAGAUGUGAAACCUCUCAGCUUGUGUUUGAAGAUUGCAGAGAGAAGGUAUGGAUCUCAAAGUGGAGAAAAGGUGCAAUGUGAACAGCCACCUCAAGCUUCUGUCACUGUGUCUUCCCUACCGUAAUGGACCGUACCCUCAAAUGGGAACUCUGUUCCUGCGGGAACUACAGGAAAUUGAAAAUGCAAUGCAGUAUGAUAUGUGUUAUCAGAAAAGUGGAAUGUUUACACUGGCUUUACUGGAAACUCAUAAAAGAGACACCUGACCAGGAUUUUUGUUUCAAUGCAGGCUUCUUGAAGGAAGUGACAUUCAAUCUAAAAAACUAAAGCUUGAAUAAUUACUGUACAGGCAGCAGAAGAGAGAGGAUGUUCUUUCCAGUGUGGUUUGGCAUGUGCAAAGGUUAUAGAAAUAGGCUUGCAAAGUUCGAGAAAAUGUCUGGAUUUUUGUAAUAUUUAUCAAGAGUAAAGAAAAUUGUUCAAGAGGCCUUGGGAGCCACAAUAGCAGAGACAAAAUUUAAUAGAGAAUUUAAUUAAUCUAGAUUAACUAAUGCUGUGAGAUGUGUAAGAUUUGAGCUUGGACCAAAAGAUACAGGUAAGAUCUAUCUAGUGUGGAAUCUGGCAAAACAAAACCAAAAUCAAACCAACAACAAUAAAACAUUAACCAUAGGGCAAAAAUGUGAGGAUAUCUGGGGGUGUGCUAGUGGUGCUACUGUUUUCUGAAAAACAUUGAAUACUUAUCAAAGGAAGUUCAGUAUAUUAAUUAGCACAAGAAAGUUUCUCAAUUAAAAAUCAUGCUUGUGGCACACUGCUGAAUGAUUUAACUUCCUAUAGGGGAAAAUCAUUGCGAAAGUAAGGGAAAGAUUUGAUGGGCUUGGAAGAGAUUGGUAGUCAGUUACUCACCAUGGCAGUAGUAAAAGAUGUUCAACAUCCUUGGUCAUCAGGGAAAUGCAAAUCAAAACAACCUUGAGAUUCCAUCUCACAC